GUGAAUCAUCAAAUUUUUGAACGCAAAUUGCACUCCCUGGUAUUCCGGAGAGCAUGCCUGUUUGAGGGUCAGUAUAAAUAAAAAUAGGUGUGGUGGCUGCCAUUCGUGGUGACGCACCGGAUUUGGGUCGUCUUGCCUUCGGUUAAGUGACAGAAAAUUUUGCAUGAUUUUUUUAGAACGUAUUUAAAUGAUUUAAGGUAAGUUUGCGAAA
Molecule: unclassified non-coding RNA, 211 nt
Filed under: Glomeraceae sp.
Lineage: Eukaryota; Fungi; Glomeromycota; Glomeromycetes; Glomerales; Glomeraceae
Description: partial contains 5.8S ribosomal RNA and internal transcribed spacer 2
Rfam family: 5.8S ribosomal RNA (bases 1-71)
Source: RNAcentral